UGGUCAUGUAAAGGGUUGCAGUCGCAGAUAACAUUAACAGGAAUAAUCAAGUCAUUCUUAAGCAGGGAUAUUUUUAUGCUGUCUUCUGGUUGAUAAAUAAAGUUUUUGAUGAGCUGAAGACGCAAAAAGAGAUUUAUGUAUCUAGACGAAAAUAAUGGAUAGAAUACAAAACAGAACUUUGUUUAUCUAGUAUAGUGGGUAUUUUCCUUAGACCAUUAUGAAUUUUUUUUUAACUAACCUCUGUUAUUUGAUUUUUUGCCUCAGUGAAAAAGGAUAUUGAGUUGACACGUAGGCUUACCGGAAUAGGAAGGCCUUUGUGAGAGCACAGACCGACAGUGAAAAACAUUGUUGCUAUAUAUAAACUUGACAUUCUUCGAAGAAGCCAUUGCUACUUGUAUACCUGAAUUUGAAAUUUAAAUUAGGUACUAGGCUAACUCGCAUAUUGUCAAUAGUAAUGUUUGUAGGUGAAAAAUCUUUUGUAGAUGAACCAUCAUUGUAGAUAAAUGGUUUACUACCGAGUCUGACUGAGAAUUGAUGAGUAACUUGCAAUUUAAAUUGUAGCCAUUGUAUUAUUUCAAAGAUUAUUGUCGUUCAUAUAUUUACUUCAUGUGGUAGAAGGAAUUCAUGUAGUUUAAGUGCUUGUUUGUUUACUAUUCUGAAAAUACAUUCUUUCAAGUUUGUCUUCUGUAUCUUUUCUUACUAUCACAAUUGUUACUAUAUGAUCUUUUAUCUCAUUGUUAGUAAUGUAAUAUAUGAACAUAAGUUUUAGUAAAUUUUUUUUUUUUUAAGCAAAAUUGGAAAUGUAGAAGUG
RNAcentral lists this long non-coding RNA (811 nucleotides) under Trifolium pratense (red clover). RNAcentral describes it as "long non-coding RNA (TPRA_LNC006940)". Lineage: Eukaryota; Viridiplantae; Streptophyta; Magnoliopsida; Fabales; Fabaceae. The record is from RNAcentral.